This 465-nucleotide ribosomal RNA is filed under the name uncultured bacterium. RNAcentral describes it as "partial 16S ribosomal RNA". It matches the Rfam family "Bacterial small subunit ribosomal RNA", at positions 339 to 795 of the family's 1533-position model. The record is from RNAcentral.
CUACGGGCUGCAGCAGUGAGGAAUCUUGCGCAAUGGGGGAAACCCUGACGCAGCGACGCCGCGUGGGUGAUGAAGGCCUUCGGGUCGUAAAGCCCUGUCGAGAGGGAAGAAUUGCAUUUAGGUUAAUAGCCUAAUUGUUUGACGGUACCUCCAAAGGAAGCACCGGCUAACUCCGUACCAGCAGCCGCGGUAAUACGGAGGGUGCAAGCGUUGUUCGGAAUCACUGGGCGUAAAGGGCGUGUAGGCGGCUGAGUACGUCAGGUGUGAAAGCCCUCGGCUCAACCGAGGAAGUGCAUUUGAUACUGCUCAUCUUGAGUACUGGAGAGGGAGAUGGAAUUCCCGGUGUAGAGGUGAAAUUCGUAGAUAUCGGGAGGAACACCAGUGGCGAAGGCGAUCUCCUGGACAGAUACUGACGCUAAGGCGCGAAAGCGUGGGGAGCAAACAGGAUUAGAUACCCGGGUAGUC